RNAcentral lists this ribosomal RNA (468 nucleotides) under uncultured bacterium. RNAcentral describes it as "bacterial SSU rRNA". It matches the Rfam family "Bacterial small subunit ribosomal RNA", at positions 28 to 494 of the family's 1533-position model. The record is from RNAcentral.
GACGAACGCUGGCGGCGUGCCUAACACAUGCAAGUCAACUUGACGGAAGGAGCAAUCUGACCGUAGAGUGGCGCAAGGGUGCGUAACGCGUAAGUAACUUGCCCCAAGGUAAGGAAUAACGUCGAGAAAUCGGCGCUAAUACCUCAUAAUGCAGCGGAUCCGCAUGGAUAUGUUGUUAAAGGUUUACCGCCUUGGGGAUAGGCUUGCGUCUGAUUAGCUAGUUGGUGUGGUAACGGCACACCAAGGCUACGAUCAGUAACUGGUCUGAGAGGAUGAUCAGUCACACUGGAACUGAGACACGGUCCAGACUCCUACGGGAGGCAGCAGUGAGGAAUAUUGGGCAAUGCUCGAAAGAGUGACCCAGCAACGCCGCGUGGAGGAUGAAGGUAUUCUAUAUCGUAAACUCCUGUGAGAGCAGACGAAAGACAGAUUAUUAAUCUGGAUGACUGUAUGCUCAGAGGAAGCCCC